This 6281-nucleotide long non-coding RNA is filed under the name Sus scrofa (pig). RNAcentral's name for it is "lncRNA (ENSSSCG00035075072.1)". Lineage: Eukaryota; Metazoa; Chordata; Mammalia; Artiodactyla; Suidae. The record is from RNAcentral.
AAAAACUCUGUAAGAGAGCAGAAAUAAGAAUCUAUGACACAGAUGCCCUGCAGAAGGCAAGAGCUAAGCCUGAGUUUAAUCUUGGCCAGUGCUGUUGUUGGGGUAUUUUUUUUUUUUUUCUUUUUAGGCUUGUACCUGUGGCAUAUGGGAGUUUCCUGGCUAGGGGUGGAAUUGGAGCUGCAACUGCUGGCCUAUACCACAGCCACAGCAAUGUGGGACCGGGGAUCCGAGCCUCGUCUGCAAUCUACACCACAGCUCACAGCAAUGUUGGAUUCUAAACCCACUGUGUAAGGCCAGGGAUCAAACACACAUCCUCAUGGAUACCAGUCGGGUUCAUAACCCACUGAGCCACAACAGGAACUCUUGGGAUUUUUCCUGUGGCCACAUCGGAGGCAUAUGGAAGUUCCUGGGCCAGAGAUUGAAUCUGAGCUGCAGCUGUGGCCUAUGCUAUAGCUGUGGCAAUGCUAGAUCCUUUAAACCACUGUAAUAGGCUGGAGAUCAAACCCGCUGUGCCACAGCAAUAACUCGUAGUGUUGGGGUCUUAACCCCUGUCUCCAUUACUCCCUCUCUUUCUAUUACAUCAUAUUUUCUUUGACUAUAUAUUUUACACUUUAUUAUGUCUUGGCUUUUAAAUUUUAAACUGCCAAAUAACUGCUAUUUGCUUUGUGAUGAACAUUUUAGUUUUAUUUUGCCUUCAUUAUGUUGCUAUCUAAUAUAUUACAGCAAAGUACAUAUAUUGUAAGUGUCGAGCUUGAUUAAUUUUUCCUGAAAUGAAUAUACCCAUGUGUUCAGUAUUCAGGUUGAGAAACAGAAAAAUUCCAGCAUAUAAAGAAAUCCACUUUAUUUUCCCUUGCAGCCCUUCUAUAUUCACAACAAGGGUAAUCAUAUCUUGACUUCCAACAGCAAUAAUGAGUUUUAUCAGUUCUUAGAUUUUAUGUUAAUGGAAUUCUAUUAUACGUGACUUUUUGGGUAUCUGGCUGCUUUUGUUGUAUGUUUUGUGAGAUUCAUCUUAUUGUUGCAUGUAGCUGUUGAUUGCUUUAUAGCAUUGAUUGUGUGCGACUAGACCACAACGUAUUCAGGCUACUGUUGUUAGGCUUUUGGCUAGUUUGAAUAUGGGGCUGUGAUGCAUGUGUUGUUAUUGGUCUAGUCAAUGUCUUUUGGUGAAUAAGUAUUUUAAUGUCGAACAUAUGUUUAGGAGGGGAGUUGCUGAGUUAUUUUUUAACAAAAAAGUUUUAGUAGGGAUUCUCAGUCAUUGGCCCAUUCAACAAAUAUCUCUGAAGAUUUUUCAAAACAUCUAUGCCUAAAUUCUACCUUAGGAAUUUAGAUUCAAGUCUUUUGGAGUGAGGCCAAAUUUUGCUCAUUAAAACAAAAACCAGGGAGUUCUCUUGGGGCACAGCAGGUUGAAGACUGGGUGUUGUUGCUGUAGCGCUUGAGUCAUGGCUGUGGUGCAGAUUCGAUUCCUGGCCUGGGAACUUUCCAUAUGCUGUGAGCACAGCCAAAACAACAACCCCCCCCCCCCAAAAAAAAAAAAAACUCCAUAGAAAUAUACUUGUGCAGCUGACGUUGAGAAUCACUGACCUUUUUUUGAAUGACAGAACAAUGUUCAUGGGUUAAGGAUCUGGUGUUUCCACAAGCUGUGGCACAGGUUGCAGAUGCGGCUCUUUCAAUCCCCUAGCCUGGGAACUUGCUUGUGCUGCAGAUGCAGCCUUAAAAAAAAAAAAAAAAAUCAUUUCUCAGCUCAAGCUCCCAACAAAGACUUGCUAUUUUUUUUUAAAUUAACAUUUUAAAUGUUGAGAUAACUGUGGAUUCACAUGCAGUUGUAAGAGUAUCCUUAGCUUCCUCUAAUGGGAACAUCUCACUAGACAAUCGUACAAUAUUAGGAUGAGGAUAUUGACAUUGGCACAGGAAAGAUACAGAAUAUUUCCAUCACCACAAGGCUCCUGAUACUAUCCUUUUAUAGCCACAUGCACUUCCUACUGUCUCCACUCCUUCUUUAGCCCUUGGCAACCACUAAUCUGUUCUCCAUUAUUAUAAUUUUGUCAUUUCAAGAAUGGUGUGCAAAUGGAAUCAUGCAGCAUGUAAGCUUCUGAAAUUUGCUUUUUCUCUCAGCGUGAUUAUCCAGAGAGAGAGAUCCAGGGUUUUGUAUAUUAACAGUUUGUUCCUUUCUAUUGCUGAGUAUGUUUAACUCUGCAGUUGGUUUAACCAUGUACUUGAAGAACAUCUGGGUUGUUUCCACUUUGCUCUUACAAAUAAAGUCUUUUGUAAAAUUUGUGUACAGGUAUUUGUGUGAACAUAAAUGUCAUUUAUCUGGGAUCAAUGCUCAGUAAUGCAGUUGCUGGGUUGGAAAGUGAUGGCAUGUUUUUAAAAUUUUUCCAUUUUGUUACAACAUUACAGAUGCAUUGCCCUCUGAAACAUCACAUUUAAGAAGGGGACAAAUCCUUUAAAUCCCAAUGAUUAUUAAUGAAAAUGACAAAACUUUGUUUUCUCUAAACAUUGAUGAAAAGUGACAUGUGUCUGGUUAUUCUUGUACAAGAAGGCCUGAUGUGUAGCCAAGAUGAUUUCACAUUUACUUUUUUUAUGGUCUAAAGGAGCUGUAGUAUUUUACAUUCACACUAGUUAGGCAUGAGUGAUUCGGGUUCUUCAUAUCCUUGCCAGCACUUUGUGCUGUCACUUUUUAUUUUUAGCUAUUGCGACAGGUGUGUAGUGAUAGCUCAUUGUGCUUUUAAUUUCUAGUUCCCUAAUGGCUAAUGAUAGUGAACAUCUUCUCAUGUACUUCUUGGCCAACUGUAUGUUCUUGUCAGUGAAAUAUCCGUUCAUGUCUUUUGCCCAUUUUUAAAUGGAAUUCUUGUUGAGUUCUGAGAAUUCUUUAUACAUCAAGAUAUGUUCCUUUGUCUUAUAUGUGGCUUGCAAAUACUUUUUCAUAUUACAUAGCUUUUUUUUGUUUGUUUGUUUUUGUCUUUUUAGGGCCCUGUGGCAUAUGGAGGCUCCCAGGCUAGGGGUUGAGUUAGAGCAGUAGCUCCUGGCCUAUACCCAAGCCACAGCAAUACGGGAGCCAAGCUGCCUCUGCGACCUACACCAUAGCUCGUAUCAGCGCCGGCUCCUUAACCCACUGAGGAAGGUCAGGGAUUGAACUCGUGUCCUCAUAGAUACUAGUCUGUCUUUUCAUGUUCCUGAUAAAUCUUUAACAGAGAAAAAUUUUUGAUUUUAAUGAGAUCACAUUUAUAAAGUUUUCCUUUCAUGGAUUGUGAUUUUUGUGUCAAAUUUAAAAACUCUUUACCUAUCUCUAGACUCUCAAAAUUUUCUCCUAUAUUUCUGUUGGUUUUAUAGUUCUGCAGCUUACAUUUGUCUGUAAUUAAUUUUGAGUAAUUCUUGUAAAGUUAUUAGAUUAGGUAGAGUUUCAUUUUUUGCUCUAUAGCUGCCUAGUUGCUCUAGUACUGUUGGUUGAAAAGGCUGUUUUAUUCACUGAAAUAGUUUGCAUCUUUGUAGGAUAAGUCGGGCAUAUUUGUAUGGGAUUACCUUUGAAUCUUUCUGUUUUGUUAUCUAUGUGUCAAUCCUUCUGCCAACAAUAGUCAUGAUUACUCUCUCUAUAUAUAAAAUAUCUCUUGAAAUUGAGUAAACUGAUUCCUAUUUUAUUAUUAUUUUUUUAAAUUACAGCUAUUCUAGAUUCUUUGCUUUCCCAUAUAAAUUUUCAAAUAGUUUUGCCUAUAUCUAUAAAAUUAUUGGAGUUCCUGUUAUGGCUCAGCACAUUACAAACCUGACUGAUAUCCAUGAAAAUGCAGGUUCAAUCCCUGGCCUAGCUCAGUGGGUUGAGGAUCUGGUGUAGCCUGCAGAUGUGACUUGGAUCCCACAUUGCUAUGACUGUGGUAUAGGCUGGCAGCUGCAGCUCUGAUUCAACCCCUGGCCUGGAACCUUCCAUAUGCUGCAGUUGUAACCCUAAAAAACAAACGAAACAAACAAACAAAAAAUUUAAUUUUGAUAGGAACUGUCUUAACUCAAUUUGCAUAUCAAUUUAGGGAGAAUUGACAUCUUAAAUAUGUAGACUCUUCCAAUCCAUGAAUAUGGUAUAUCUCUUUAAUUUUUUUUUUAGGUCUUUUAUUUUUUUCAUCAGCACUUUAGAGUUUAGCAUUACAAGUCUUGUUUGUAUUUUGUUAGAUUUAUAUAUAAUUACUUUAUAUUUUUUGAAUGGCUGUAAAUGAUACUGCAUUUUAAAAUUUGGUGUCCUUUAUUCAUUGAUAGUAUAUAAAAUAAAAUUGAUUUUUGCAUCUUUACUUUAUAUCCGUGACCUUGCUAAAUUCAUUUCUUAUACUUCUGAGUGGUUUUUGGAGACUCAUUGGAAGUUUCUGCAUAGACAAUCAUGUCAUUUGCAAAUUGGGACAGUUUUCUUUCUUCCUAUCCAAUCUGUACAUCUUUUGUUUCUUGUCUUAUUGCACUGGGUAGAUCUUCUAACACUAUGUUAACUUAGAAUGGUAGAAGUGCCUUAAUCUUUGCUUUAAUCCUGUUUUCACCAUGAAGUAUAUUAGCUGUGGGUGGUCUAUAGACGCUUUUUAUAAAGUUGAGGAAAUUUCCCUGCAUUCCUGUUUCUUGAGUGUUUUAAAAUCAUGAAUGGAUGUUGAAGUUUGUCAAAUGCCUUUUCUGCAUCCAUUGGUCUGAUCUCAUGACUUUCCUGCUUUAGCCUAUUAAGAUAAAUAAAAUUGACUUUUUUUCUAACUUGAAAUCAGUCAAGUAUCCCUGAAAUAAUCUCCACUGGCAAUAGUGUUUAAAUUCUUUUGAUGUUAAAGACUAUUUAUAUUCUUUUUAUGUGCUCCUAUUUGUUAUCUUUGGUUAAGAAUUUUUGUGUCAUAUUGAUGAGAGAUAUUGACCUACAGUUUUUUGUACUGUUUGUGUGUGGUUUGGGUAUUGGGGUGAUACUGGUUUUAUAAAACAUGGGAAAUGUUUUCCUCUUCUGUUUUCUGUAAUAGAUUAUAUAAUGAUGUUAAUUAUUUCACUAUAUGGUAAAGGUUUGCUGUGAACUCACCUGGGGCUAAGAUUCAUUUUUUGAGGAGUUUUAAAAUUAAUAAUUCAAUUUACUUAAUAGCUAUAGGGCUAUAAAAUUAUCUAUUUGAUAUUGGGUGGGUUGUGGUAGUUUGUGUUUUUCAAGGAAUUGGUGUAUUUCAACUAAAUUGUAAAAUUUAUGUGUGUAGAAUUAUUCAUGAUAGUUACUUUUUUUUUCAAUGAUUUUUAUUUUUUCCAUUAGAGUUGGUUUACAGUGUUCUGUCAAUUUUUUUUUUUUUGUCUUUUCUAGGGCUACCCCUGUGACAUAUGAAGGUUCCCAGGCCAGGGAUCCAAUCGGAGCUGUAGCCGCCGGCCUAUGCCAGAGCCACAGCAAUGAGGGAUCUGAGCCGCAUCUGAGACCUACACCACAGCUCAUGGCAAUGCCGGAUCCUUAACCCGCUGAGAGAGGCCAGGGAUUGAACCUGCAACCUCAUGGUUCCUAGUCAGAUUUGUUAACCACUGUGCCAUGACGGGAACUCCUGUUCUGUCAAUUUGCUACUGUACAGUAAAGUGAUCCAGGCACACAUACAUAAAACUUAUUCUUUUGAUGCCUACAAAGUUUGGGUUUCAUCCUAGGUUUUACUCCUGCUGUUGGUAAUUUAUCUUUUCUCUACCUCUUUUUUUUCAGUCUUGCUAGAGAUCUGUUGGGUUUUUUUUUCUUCUUUUCAAAGAACUUUCUGUUUUUUUUUGUUGGUUAUUGUUUUUGUUUUUUUUUUUUUUUUUUUUUUUUUUUUUGUCUUUUUAUGGCUGCACCUGCAGCAUGUGGAGGUUCCCCAUCUAGGGAUCCAAUCUGAGCUGUAGCCACUGGCCUACACCACAACCACAGCAACAGGGGAUCUGAGCCGUGUCGUCUGCGACCUACACCACAGCUCAUGGCAAUGACAGAUCCUUAACCCACUGAUCAAGGCCAAGGAUCGAACCUGAAUCCUCAUGGAUACUAGUCGGGUUCAUUAACUGCUAAGCCAUGAUGGGAACUCCUAUUUUUUUUUCUGUUCAUUUUCCUUGAUUUCUUUUCUUAUUUCAUUCCUUGCAUGAGGUUUAUUUUGCUUUUCUUUGCUUCGUUUAUUGAUUUGAGACUUUUCCUUAUUUCUAAUGUAUGCCUUUAAUGCUGUACAUUUUCUUUCUAGAGCUGUUUUCUCUGCAUCCCACAUUUUUUUUUUUGUCUUUUUAUAGCUGCACCCAGGGAAUAUGGGGUUUCCCAGGCUAGGGGUCGAAUUGGGACUGUAGCCACUGGCCUAUACCAGAGCCAC